GGGCGGGUAGCUCAGUUGGCUAGAGCACUCGCUUUACACGCGAGGGGUCGCGGGUUCGAGUCCCGCCCCGCCCAC
RNAcentral lists this transfer RNA (75 nucleotides) under Phycisphaeraceae bacterium. RNAcentral's name for it is "tRNA-Val". It matches the Rfam family "tRNA". Rfam says of the family: Transfer RNA (tRNA) molecules are approximately 80 nucleotides in length. Their secondary structure includes four short double-helical elements and three loops (D, anti-codon, and T loops). The record is from RNAcentral. Lineage: Bacteria; Pseudomonadati; Planctomycetota; Phycisphaerae; Phycisphaerales; Phycisphaeraceae.